AUUGAACGCUGGCGGCAUGCCUUACACAUGCAAGUCGAACGGUAACGGGCCUUCGGGUGCCGACGAGUGGCGAACGGGUGAGUAAUACAUCGGAACGUGCCCGAUCGUGGGGGAUAACGAGGCGAAAGCUUUGCUAAUACCGCAUACGAUCUACGGAUGAAAGCAGGGGACCGCAAGGCCUUGCGCGGACGGAGCGGCCGAUGGCAGAUUAGGUAGUUGGUGGGAUAAAAGCUUACCAAGCCGACGAUCUGUAGCUGGUCUGAGAGGAUGAUCAGCCACACUGGGACUGAGACACGGCCCAGACUCCUACGGGAGGCAGCAGUGGGGAAUUUUGGACAAUGAGCGCAAGCCUGAUCCAGCCAUGCCGCGUGCAGGAUGAAGGCCUUCGGGUUGUAAACUGCUUUUGUACGGAACGAAAAGCCUUCUUUUAAUACAGGAGGGUCAUGACGGUACCGUAAGAAUAAGCACCGGCUAACUACGUG
This 482-nucleotide ribosomal RNA is filed under the name uncultured bacterium. Its description in RNAcentral is "partial 16S ribosomal RNA". It matches the Rfam family "Bacterial small subunit ribosomal RNA", at positions 30 to 507 of the family's 1533-position model. The record is from RNAcentral.